UGGGGAAUAUUGGGCAAUGGAGGAAACUCUGACCCAGCGACGCCGCGUGCGGGAUGAAGGCCUUCGGGUUGUAAACCGCUUUCAGCAGGGAAUAAGCGCAAGUGAAGGUACCUGCAGGAGAAGCACCGGCUAACUAUGUGCCAGCAGCCGCGGUAAUACAUAGGGUGCAAGCGUUGUCCGGAAUUAUUGGGCGUAAAGAGCUCGUAGGUGGUUUGUCGCGUUGUUCGUGAAAUCUCACAACUCAAUUGUGAGCGUGCGGGCGAUACGGGCAGACUGGAGUACUGCAGGGGAGACUGGAAUUCCUGGUGUAGCGGUGGAAUGCGCAGAUAUCAGGAGGAACACCGGUGGCGAAGGCAGCCCCCUGGGAUAACACUGACGCUCAUGCACGAAAGCGUGGGGAGCAAACAGG
Molecule: ribosomal RNA, 409 nt
Filed under: uncultured bacterium
Lineage: Bacteria
Description: bacterial SSU rRNA
Rfam family: Bacterial small subunit ribosomal RNA
Source: RNAcentral